CCGCCGCGAUCCCUGCGCACCACGGCCCUGCCCGCCACGGGGCGAGCCCGAUAAGAGGGCUGUGGACGUUCGGGUCUAGUUGGGAGAGACAGGGGUCCCUGACUCUUGAGCGGUCAGUCAUUUCCUCCCCAGUCCUUGUGGGUGACGUGGCUACGGUUUGGAGCAGCAAGCCCCCUCCCCGAACUAAAGGGCCUCUCCAAAGGUUAAGCCAGGGCAGUCAUUGAGGUCAAAACCAAUAUGUAGUUUCUUGACUGCAGGUGCCUGCACGACUCCCAGAAAGUCGCGUCUCCCCUAACCCCCAUGCCCAGGACCUGAGGACAAAGGUCUAGCGAUUGUCCAUCCCCUCCCCCAGUGAGGACAGCCGGGAAAGACCUGCCUUUGUUGUGUACAGGUGGUAUCUCACUGUGUUAUCCAGACUGGACUCAAAUUUCUGGGCUCCAAUGGUCCUCUCACCUCAGCCUCCCAAGUAGUCAGGACUACAGAACUCCAUGGCAAUGUUUUGAGGAUUAAAGAGGAGAGUGAUGACUAUCCAAACGUCAGAGAACGCAACUAUGAGACUAGAGACACUGGAAAACUAAAAAAGUAACGGGCCUUUGCUGACUCAGGGAGAUGAUUUCCCAAGAGGGAAGAAAACUGGAACCUGAGAAAUAAGUGAUUUAGUAAUGUGGCUGCUAAAAUACGGAAAAACUAGAAUGAAUGGCUUACACAUUUUUGAAAUGAAGUUAGAAGAGGGUUAUACUGUGAAGAAGAAUGAAAAAGCCAAACAUUUCAUUCAGUGUUGCUGUCCUCAUUUUACAGAUGAAGAAACUGAGGCCCCAGAUCACAGGGCUGGUGAGAAGAACGUGAUAUCUCCAGAGCUAACACUUAACUACUAUAGUGUACCACACAAGGAGAGAGCAGCAUUAGAGAGGGGUGCCACUUCCUCUGAUGGAAGAUAAAAAAGAAAGAUUGCCAGCCUGGGCAACAUAGUGAGACCCUGUCUCUACAAAAAAUAAAAAU
This 999-nucleotide long non-coding RNA is filed under the name Homo sapiens (human). RNAcentral's name for it is "HSALNT0334020". Lineage: Eukaryota; Metazoa; Chordata; Mammalia; Primates; Hominidae. The record is from RNAcentral.